UUAAUGAUGAAAUUAAUUGGUCCGUGUUUAUGAAUUUAUGUUGAUUAUAUAAUCCAAUUACCGAACUGA
This is a small nucleolar RNA of Eupeodes corollae, 69 nucleotides long. RefSeq annotates it as small nucleolar RNA U18. The transcript has a single exon. The record is from RefSeq and is a predicted model, not a curated record. Lineage: Eukaryota; Metazoa; Arthropoda; Insecta; Diptera; Syrphidae.